This 2321-nucleotide ribosomal RNA is filed under the name marine metagenome. RNAcentral describes it as "bacterial LSU rRNA". It matches the Rfam family "Bacterial large subunit ribosomal RNA", at positions 523 to 2748 of the family's 2925-position model. The record is from RNAcentral.
ACCCCGGGAGGGGAGUGAAAUAGUACCUGAAACCGUUGGUUUACAAACAGUCAGAGAGUCGUUGUACCGUUCGCGGUGCAGCCUCGAUGGCGUGCCUUUUGAAGAAUGAGCCUACGAGUUACGGUAUGUGGCGAGGUUAACCCGAGAGGGGUAGCCGGAGCGAAAGCGAGUCUGAACAGGGCGUUCAGUCGCAUGCUGUAGACCCGAAGCCGAGUGAUCUUGCCAUGGUCAGGAUGAAGCGGGGGUAAGACCCCGUGGAGGACCGAACACACGUCAGUUGAAAAUGGCGGUGAUGAGCUGUGGUAAGGGGCGAAAGACCAAUCAAACUCGGCGAUAGCUGGUUCUCCUCGAAAUGCAUUUAGGUGCAGCGUCAUGCGUUCAGUGCCGGAGGUAGAGCACUGGAUGGGUUAGGGGGCCUACAAGCUUACCGACCCCAGCCAAACUCCGAAUUACGGCACUCCAGAGCAUGGCAGUGAGUCCAUGGGGGAUGAGCUUCAUUGGACGAAAGGGAAACAGCCCAGAUCAUCAGCUAAGGCCCCAAAUUCAGGACUAAGUGUAAAACGAUGUGAAAUUGCAUAGACAGCCAGGAGGUUGGCUUAGAAGCAGCCACCCUUGAAAGAGUGCGUAACAGCUCACUGGUCGAGUGAUUUUGCGCGGAUAAUUCAACGGGGCUCAAGUCCUGAGCCGAAGCUAUGGAUUGCACGUUCCUUCGGGAUCGUGCAGUGGUAGAGGAGCGUCGAUGCGACGGUGAAGCGGCGGGAUGACCCGGCGUGGAGUCGUAUCGAGUGAGAAUGUAGGUAUGAGUAGCGAAAGAGGGGUGAGAAACCCCUCCACCGAAAGCCCAAGGGUUCCUGGGGAAGGCUAAUCCUCCCAGGGUAAGUCGGGAGCUAAGGGGAGGCCGAGAGGCGUACCCGAUGCACAACUGGUUGAUAUUCCAGUACCGCCGUGUACACGUCAAGCCCAAUGUCGUCGAAGAGGGGGCUGCCUUCGGGCGAACCCUCGGAGAUGGCGGCGGGUAACUGAUGGGGGACACAGGAGGGUAGAUGAUCCGAGGCGAUGGUCGUCCUCGGGUAAGCGUGAAGGAGGUCGCCGAUGAAAGUCGGCGGCAACUCUGAGGCGCGAUGCCGAUCUCGUUCGAGAGAAGUCAUCGAUCCCACACUGUCGAGAAAAGCCCAGCAGUGAGUUGAUACGGCGCCCGUACCCCAAACCGACGCAGGUGGGCGCGCAGAGAAUGCGAAGGUGAUCGGGAGAACUGUGGUUAAGGAACUCGGCAAAUUGCCUCCGUAACUUCGGAAGAAGGAGGACCCAUUUGGGUGAAGGGACUUCGCGUCCCGGAGCUCGAGUGGGUGGCACAGGCCAGGGGGUAGCAACUGUUUAACAAAAACACAGCAGCGUGCUAAGUCGCAAGACGACGUAUACGCUGUGACGCCUGCCCAAUGCUGGAAGGUCACGAGGAGCGGUCAGCCGCAAGGCGAAGCUGCGAAUCUAAGCCCCAGUGAAUGGCGGCCGUAACUAUAACGGUCCUAAGGUAGCGAAAUUCCUUGUCGGGUAAGUUCCGACCUGCACGAAUGGCGUAAUGACUUCCCUACUGUCUCAACCGCAGACCCGGCGAAAUUGAAGUACGAGUAAAGAUGCUCGUUUGCUGCGGAAGGACGGAAAGACCCCAUGCACCUUUACUACAACUUGGUGCUGGGCUUCGACUUUGACUGUGUAGCUUAGGUGGGAGACGUUGAGGCGCGAGCGCUAGUUCGCGCGGAGUCAUCAGUGAAAUACCACCCUGCCAAAUUUGGAGCUCUAACCUUGGUCCGUGAUCCGGAUCAGGAACACCGCCAGGUGGGUAGUUUGACUGGGGCGGUCGCCUCCUAAAUUGUAACGGAGGCGCUCAAAGGUUCCCUCAGACUGGUUGGUAAUCAGUCGUCGAGUGUAAUGACACAAGGGAGCUUGACUGCGAGACCUACAAGUCGAGCAGGCACGAAAGUGGGACAUAGUGACCCGGCCAUUGCUUGUGGAAGCGUGGUCGCUCAACGGAUAAAAGGUACGCUGGGGAUAACAGGCUAAUCUUUCCCAAGAGUCCAUAUCGACGGAAAGGUUUGGCACCUCGAUGUCGGCUCAUCGCAUCCUGGGGCUGAAGCAGGUCCCAAGGGUUGGGCUGUUCGCCCAUUAAAGCGGUACGUGAGCUGGGUUCAGAACGUCGUGAGACAGUUCGGUCCCUAUCCUCCGCAGCCGCAGGAGUGUUGAGGAAAGCUGUCCCUAGUACGAGAGGACCGGGACGGACGUAGCUCUGGUGUGUCAGUUGUCCUGCCAAGGGCACGGCUGAUUAU